UACAGGGGGUGCAAACGUUGCUCGGAAUCACUGGGCGUAAAGGGCGCGUAGGUGGCGCGGGCAGCCAACGGUGAAAGUUCGGGGCUCAACCCUGAAUCGGCCGUCGAUACUCCCGUGCUUGAGCACUGUAGAGGCAGAUGGAAUUCCGGGUGUAGCGGUGGAAUGCGUAGAGAUCCGGAAGAACACCGGUGGCGAAGGCGGUCUGCUGGGCAGUAGCUGACACUGAGGCGCGACAGCGUGGGGAGCAAACAGG
This 253-nucleotide ribosomal RNA is filed under the name uncultured bacterium. Its description in RNAcentral is "partial 16S ribosomal RNA". It matches the Rfam family "Bacterial small subunit ribosomal RNA", at positions 524 to 776 of the family's 1533-position model. The record is from RNAcentral.